CCUACGGGAGGCAGCAGUGGGGAAUAUUGGACAAUGGGCGAAAGCCUGAUCCAGCCAUGCCGCGUGUGUGAAGAAGGCCUUCGGGUUGUAAAGCACUUUCAGUGGGGAAGAAAGCCUUGGGGCUAAUACCCUCGAGGAAGGACAUCACCCACAGAAGAAGCACCGGCUAACUCCGUGCCAGCAGCCGCGGUAAUACGGAGGGUGCGAGCGUUAAUCGGAAUUACUGGGCGUAAAGCGCGCGUAGGCGGUCUGAUAAGCCGGUUGUGAAAGCCCCGGGCUCAACCUGGGAACGGCAUCCGGAACUGUCAGGCUAGAGUGCAGGAGAGGAAGGUAGAAUUCCCGGUGUAGCGGUGAAAUGCGUAGAGAUCGGGAGGAAUACCAGUGGCGAAGGUGGCCUUCUGGACUGACACUGACGCUGAGGUGCGAAAGCGUGGGUAGCAAACAGGAUUAGAUACCCCAGUAGUC
This 465-nucleotide ribosomal RNA is filed under the name Vreelandella stevensii. RNAcentral describes it as "partial 16S ribosomal RNA". It matches the Rfam family "Bacterial small subunit ribosomal RNA", at positions 338 to 795 of the family's 1533-position model. Lineage: Bacteria; Pseudomonadati; Pseudomonadota; Gammaproteobacteria; Oceanospirillales; Halomonadaceae. The record is from RNAcentral.